CCUACGGGUGGCAGCAGUGAGGAAUAUUGGUCAAUGGACGAGAGUCUGAACCAGCCAAGUAGCGUGAAGGAUGACUGCCCUAUGGGUUGUAAACUUCUUUUAUAUGGGAAUAAAAUGUUCCACGUGUGGGAUUUUGUAUGUACCAUAUGAAUAAGGAUCGGCUAACUCCGUGCCAGCAGCCGCGGUAAUACGGAGGAUCCGAGCGUUAUCCGGAUUUAUUGGGUUUAAAGGGAGCGUAGGUGGAUUGUUAAGUCAGUUGUGAAAGUGUGCGGCUCAACCGUAACAUUGCAGUGGAAACUGGCAGUCUUGAGUACAGUAGAGGUAGGCGGAAUUCGUGGUGUAGCGGUGAAAUGCUUAGAUAUCACGAAGAACUCCGAUUGCGAAGGCAGUUCACUGGACUGCAACUGACGCUGAGGCUCGAAAGUGUGGGUAUCAAACAGGAUUAGAUACCCUUGUAGUC
This 460-nucleotide ribosomal RNA is filed under the name uncultured bacterium. Its description in RNAcentral is "partial 16S ribosomal RNA". It matches the Rfam family "Bacterial small subunit ribosomal RNA", at positions 338 to 795 of the family's 1533-position model. The record is from RNAcentral.